GUGCUCGCUUUGGCCGCACAUAUACUAAAAUUGGAAUGAUACAGAGAAGAUUAGCAUGGCCCCUGCACAAGGAUGACACACAAAUUCAUGAAGUGUUCCAUUUUUUU
RNAcentral lists this small nuclear RNA (107 nucleotides) under Monodon monoceros (narwhal). Lineage: Eukaryota; Metazoa; Chordata; Mammalia; Artiodactyla; Monodontidae. The record is from RNAcentral. RNAcentral also lists the same sequence under 1 other name.